AAGGGGCUAGUCCAAAGAAGACCUCUGAUUUCGACUCAGAAAAUUAUGGUUAAAACCCAUAGCCCCCUU
This 69-nucleotide transfer RNA is filed under the name Hyphessobrycon amandae (ember tetra). RNAcentral's name for it is "tRNA-Arg". It matches the Rfam family "tRNA". Rfam says of the family: Transfer RNA (tRNA) molecules are approximately 80 nucleotides in length. Their secondary structure includes four short double-helical elements and three loops (D, anti-codon, and T loops). Lineage: Eukaryota; Metazoa; Chordata; Actinopteri; Characiformes; Acestrorhamphidae. The record is from RNAcentral.